This 243-nucleotide ribosomal RNA is filed under the name uncultured bacterium. Its description in RNAcentral is "partial 16S ribosomal RNA". It matches the Rfam family "Bacterial small subunit ribosomal RNA", at positions 796 to 1041 of the family's 1533-position model. The record is from RNAcentral.
CACGCCGUAAACGAUGGAUACUAGCUGUUCGGAGCAAUCUGAGUGGCUAAGCGAAAGUGAUAAGUAUCCCACCUGGGGAGUACGCACGCAAGUGUGAAACUCAAAGGAAUUGACGGGGACCCGCACAAGCGGUGGAUGAUGUGGUUUAAUUCGAUGCAACGCGAAAAACCUUACCCACCUUUGACAUGGUCGGAACCCUUUAGAGAUAGAGGGGUGCUCGAAAGAGAGCCGAUACACAGGUGC